Molecule: small nucleolar RNA, 85 nt
Organism: Jaculus jaculus (lesser Egyptian jerboa)
Lineage: Eukaryota; Metazoa; Chordata; Mammalia; Rodentia; Dipodidae
Gene: Snord35a
Product: small nucleolar RNA, C/D box 35A
Source: Ensembl
GGCAAAUGAUGUUUCUUUCUCACGAUGGUCUGCGGAUGCCACAGGGCAGUGGCGAUAAUGCCAUAGGCUCAGCUGAUGCCAGAAG